Oncorhynchus keta (chum salmon) is the source of this 150-nucleotide long non-coding RNA. RefSeq lists it as uncharacterized. The transcript has 3 exons. NCBI's taxonomy places the organism in Eukaryota, Metazoa, Chordata, Actinopteri, Salmoniformes, Salmonidae. The record is from RefSeq and is a predicted model, not a curated record.
GACAUUAGUUGGUAGGUGGAUGGAGGGGCGUAACCAGACAUUAGUUGGUAGGUGGAUGGAGGGGCGUAACCAGACAUUAGUUGGUAGGUGGGUGGAUGGAGGGGCGUAACCAGACAUUAGUUGGUAGGUGGAUGGAGGGGCGUAGCCAGA